AGUGAACGCUGGCGGUAGGCCUAACACAUGCAAGUCGAACGGCAGCACAGUAAGAGCUUGCUCUUACGGGUGGCGAGUGGCGGACGGGUGAGGAAUACAUCGGAAUCUACUUUUUCGUGGGGGAUAACGUAGGGAAACUUACGCUAAUACCGCAUACGACCUACGGGUGAAAGCAGGGGAUCUUCGGACCUUGCGCGAUUGAAUGAGCCGAUGUCGGAUUAGCUAGUUGGCGGGGUAAAGGCCCACCAAGGCGACGAUCCGUAGCUGGUCUGAGAGGAUGAUCAGCCACACUGGAACUGAGACACGGUCCAGACUCCUACGGGAGGCGGCAGUGGGGAAUAUUGGACAAUGGGCGCAAGCCUGAUCCAGCAAUACCGCGUGGGUGAAGAAGGCCUUCGGGUUGUAAAGCCCUUUUGUUGGGAAAGAAAGGCAGCAGGUUAAUACCCCGCUGUUCUGACGGUACCCAAAGAAUAAGCACCGGCUAACUUCGUG
Molecule: ribosomal RNA, 492 nt
Filed under: uncultured bacterium
Lineage: Bacteria
Description: partial 16S ribosomal RNA
Rfam family: Bacterial small subunit ribosomal RNA
Source: RNAcentral